AGUGAACGCUGGCGGUAGGCCUAACACAUGCAAGUCGAACGGCAGCACAGUAAGAGCUUGCUCUUACGGGUGGCGAGUGGCGGACGGGUGAGGAAUACAUCGGAAUCUACUUUUUCGUGGGGGAUAACGUAGGGAAACUUACGCUAAUACCGCAUACGACCUACGGGUGAAAGCAGGGGAUCUUCGGACCUUGCGCGAUUGAAUGAGCCGAUGUCGGAUUAGCUAGUUGGCGGGGUAAAGGCCCACCAAGGCGACGAUCCGUAGCUGGUCUGAGAGGAUGAUCAGACACACUGGAACUGAGACACGGUCCAGACUCCUACGGGAGGCAGCAGUGGAGAAUAUUGGACAAUGGGCGCAAGCCUGAUCCAGCCAUACCGCGUGGGUGAAGAAGGCCUUCGGGUUGUAAAGCCCUUUUGUUGGGAAAGAAAAGCAGCAGGUUAAUACCCCGCUGUUCUGACGGUACCCAAAGAAUAAGCACCGGCUAACUUCG
RNAcentral lists this ribosomal RNA (490 nucleotides) under uncultured bacterium. RNAcentral's name for it is "partial 16S ribosomal RNA". It matches the Rfam family "Bacterial small subunit ribosomal RNA", at positions 29 to 505 of the family's 1533-position model. The record is from RNAcentral.